CACAAGCGGUGGAGCAUGUGGUUUAAUCGAAGCAACGCGAAGAACCUUACCAGGCCUUGACAUGCAGAGAACUUUCCAGAGAUGGAUUGGUGCCUUCGGGAACUCUGACACAGGUGCUGCAUGGCUGUCGUCAGCUCGUGUCGUGAGAUGUUGGGUUAAGUCCCGUAACGAGCGCAACCCUUGUCCUUAGUUACCAGCACGUUAUGGUGGGCACUCUAAGGAGACUGCCGGUGACAAACCGGAGGAAGGCGGGGAUGACGUCAAGUCAUCAUGGCCCUUACGGCCUGGGCUACACACGUGCUACAAUGGUCGGUACAAAGGGUUGCCAAGCCGCGAGGUGGAGCUAAUCCCAUAAAACCGAUCGUAGUCCGGAUCGCAGUCUGCAACUCGACUGCGUGAAGUCAGAAUCGCUAGUAAUCGUGAAUCAGAAUGUCACGGUGAAUACGUUCCCGGGCCUU
RNAcentral lists this ribosomal RNA (458 nucleotides) under uncultured Pseudomonas sp. RNAcentral describes it as "bacterial SSU rRNA". It matches the Rfam family "Bacterial small subunit ribosomal RNA", at positions 924 to 1382 of the family's 1533-position model. The record is from RNAcentral. Lineage: Bacteria; Pseudomonadati; Pseudomonadota; Gammaproteobacteria; Pseudomonadales; Pseudomonadaceae.